RNAcentral lists this ribosomal RNA (513 nucleotides) under uncultured bacterium. RNAcentral's name for it is "partial 16S ribosomal RNA". It matches the Rfam family "Bacterial small subunit ribosomal RNA", at positions 28 to 523 of the family's 1533-position model. The record is from RNAcentral.
GACGAACGCUGGCGGCGUGCCUAAUACAUGCAAGUUGAGCGCUGAAGGUUGGUACUUGUACCAACUGGAUGAGCAGCGAACGGGUGAGUAACGCGUGGGGAAUCUGCCUUUGAGCGGGGGACAACAUUUGGAAACGAAUGCUAAUACCGCAUAAAAACUUUAAACACAAGUUUUAAGUUUGAAAGAUGCAAUUGCAUCACUCAAAGAUGAUCCCGCGUUGUAUUAGCUAGUUGGUGAGGUAAAGGCUCACCAAGGCGAUGAUACAUAGCCGACCUGAGAGGGUGAUCGGCCACAUUGGGACUGAGACACGGCCCAAACUCCUACGGGAGGCAGCAGUAGGGAUUCUUCGGCAAUGGACGAAAGUCUGACCGAGCAACGCCGCGUGAGUGAAGAAGGUUUUCGGAUCGUAAAACUCUGUUGGUAGAGAAGAACGUUGGUGAGAGUGGAAAGCUCAUCAAGUGACGGUAACUACCCAGAAAGGGACGGCUAACCACGUGCCAGCCGCCGCUGUAA